Molecule: long non-coding RNA, 303 nt
Filed under: Gossypium raimondii (Peruvian cotton)
Lineage: Eukaryota; Viridiplantae; Streptophyta; Magnoliopsida; Malvales; Malvaceae
Description: long non-coding RNA (GRAI_LNC008124)
Source: RNAcentral
GGGUUUUAUAGAGUACCAAAAUGGUACCGUUUUGCAGAGCCCCCAGACGCCCAAAACGACAUCGUUUUGUGGAGGCCGACCCGACCCGGCCUAGGAUCCGCGUGUUUUUGAGCGGAGGGGUAAAUUGCGUUUUUAGCCUCUUCAUCUUUUAAUAUUUUUGCAAUUAAGUUUAUUUUGUUUUUUUUUAAAUUCGCUUUUAGUUUAUUUUAAAAUUCAAUUUGAUCCCUAUCGAACGACGCCGUUUAGAGGGAAAGGGAAAUUUCCCUUCCAGCCCCUCCAUGAUUAUACGCGCGUUCAAUACAG